Molecule: long non-coding RNA, 1169 nt
Organism: Ipomoea nil (Japanese morning glory)
Lineage: Eukaryota; Viridiplantae; Streptophyta; Magnoliopsida; Solanales; Convolvulaceae
Exons: 2
Source: RefSeq, a predicted model, not a curated record
UUCCUGCUUUAAAUUAACACUUGAAAUACAGUUUACCUAUCUUGCCCGUCUGCCCGUUUUCAGAGAUAUGGUUGUGAUAGUGAAUCUCGUGCUUGUUCCUUUUGUGGAUAUGAACCGAAUCUUGAUAGGUAGCUAGGCCCCAGAAGAGGUGUUUUCAGUAGGUUCUGUACAUCUGUGCUUAAUAGAUCCAUUAUUCUAGUGCCCCAGCUUGACUUGAGUGAUGUAUUCUCUUUGAAAACGAGAUUAGGGAGGGGUAUAGUAGUCCAAAUAGAGUACACUAUUAUGCAUUUGUCCAUAUAUGAUCAUAUGCAUGCCUGCAAAUCUGCAAUUCCUUUUUCUCCUGCAUUUUGUUUCUUCCUUAAAAACGAGAAGCUGUCGAUGAUUGUUCCUGUCAUUCAUCCAAUCAUCCUAUUACCUAGUUUUAACUGUCGGGUUUCAGCAGAUUCAAUCAAACACCACAAAUAUGGCGAAGAAAUCCCAGAUUUUCACGGCAUCAAGACACAAUUGACCACACGUGAUGAUAACGUUGUGGGGAAAUGGAAAUUUGAUAGAAGAGGUGGAAGAGUUUUGGUCCCUUGUGACUUGUGAGUGGGAUUUUGAUUGAGCUUUUUGUGGGCAAUAUUCGAACAACAAAUGCUUGAAGACAAGUAGAUGACGGUGGAUUAACGUCACGUCUAAUCAUUAUGUUGAUGGCACAGUAUGACACGUGCUGCAACUGUAGCUCCAAUAAUAGCAUAAAACAUCAAAACCCAGAGAAGAGAAAAGCGGGGUUUGCAUAUCAUCGCAGGAUAGAUGGAGCUGAGGAUGUGAUGCAUCUAUAUAUCUUGGUUCAAUUAUAUUAUGUCUAGCUAAUGUCGUGAUUGUCAACGUUUUCACCUAAUAUCUUUAAGGAUGUGGGGUUGGGAAAGAAGGUUCAUGUCAUAUCGGAUACAUUUGCAUGUGCAAUUGUGCAUGUCUUGCCACUGCACUUUGGUUUACGUUUGACACAUAUGUUGUUAGAGUUUUAAUCAUUGUAUUUUUAUUUUUAUUUUUGUGACGAGAGAAAUUCGCAACUAUUACCUUUCUCUCAACUACUAUUUGAAUGACUGAUGUAUGCACUAUGUAAUAUUAUCUUGUAACUUUAGUCAAUAAAUGAUUCUAAAGCGAUAAACUAAUUAACUUAGUUUGUU